Molecule: ribosomal RNA, 1517 nt
Filed under: Brevibacterium sp. HMSC22B09
Lineage: Bacteria; Bacillati; Actinomycetota; Actinomycetes; Micrococcales; Brevibacteriaceae
Description: bacterial LSU rRNA
Rfam family: Bacterial large subunit ribosomal RNA
Source: RNAcentral
GGUGGUGGGACCUGAGGGUUUUGUAGGUAAGCGUGUUAACAGGUGUGACGCAGGAAGGUAGCCGGGCCGUGCGAUGGUUGUCGCGGUCUAAGGUUGUAGGCCGUGUGGUUGGCAAAUCCGCCACACAUGAUGGCUGAGAGCUGAUGGGCGCCCCACACGUGGUGGGGUGAUCCGGUGAUCCUCUGCUGCCAAGAAAAGCAUCGACGUGAGGUUCAAACUGCCCGUACCCUAAACCGACUCAGGUGGUCAGGUAGAGAAUACCAAGGCGAUCGAGAUAAUCGUGGUUAAGGAACUCGGCAAAAUGCCCCCGUAACUUUGGAAGAAGGGGGACCACCCCGGUGAACAACCCUUGCGGUUGGAUGUGCUGGUGGUGGUCGCAGAGGCCAGAGAGAAGCGACUGUUUACUAAAAACACAGGUCCGUGCGAAGACGUAAGUCGAUGUAUACGGACUGACGCCUGCCCGGUGCUGGAAGGUUAAGAGGAUCUGUUAGAACCUUGGUUCGAAGCGGAGAAUUUAAGCCCCAGUAAACGGCGGUGGUAACUAUAACCAUCCUAAGGUAGCGAAAUUCCUUGUCGGGUAAGUUCCGACCUGCACGAAUGGCGUAACGACUUCUCUGCUGUCUCAACCGCGAACUCGGCGAAAUUGCAUUACGAGUAAAGAUGCUCGUUACGCGCAGCAGGACGGAAAGACCCCGAGACCUUCACUAUAGUUUGGUAUUGGUGUUCGGUGUGGCUUGUGUAGGAUAGGUGGGAGACUAUGAGGCAUGCACGCCAGUGUGUGUGGAGUCAUUGGUGAAAUACCACUCUGGCCAUAGUGGAUUCCUGAACUUCGGACCCUGAUCGGGUCCAGGGACAGUGCCUGAUGGGUAGUUUAACUGGGGCGGUUGCCUCCCAAAGAGUAACGGAGGCGCCCAAAGGUUCCCUCAGCCUGGUUGGCAAUCAGGUGGUGAGUGUAAGUGCACAAGGGAGCUUGACUGUGAGACGGACGUGUCGAGCAGGAGCGAAAGCUGGGACUAGUGACCCGGCCAUGGCUUGUGGAAGCGUGGUCGCUCAACGGAUAAAAGGUACCUCGGGGAUAACAGGCUGAUCUUGCCCAAGAGUCCAUAUCGACGGCAUGGUUUGGCACCUCGAUGUCGGCUCGUCGCAUCCUGGGGCUGGAGUCGGUCCCAAGGGUUGGGCUGUUCGCCCAUUAAAGCGGUACGCGAGCUGGGUUUAGAACGUCGUGAGACAGUUCGGUCCCUAUCCGCUGCGUGCGUAGGAAAUCUGAGAAGGGCUGUCCUUAGUACGAGAGGACCGGGACGGACGAACCUCUGGUGUGCCAGUUGUACCGCCAGGUGCAUGGCUGGUUGGCUACGUUCGGGAAGGAUAACCGCUGAAAGCAUCUAAGCGGGAAGCCUGCUUCAAGAUGAGAUUUCCCCUGAGGUGUCCAGUAGACGACUGGGUUGAUAGGCCAGAUGUGGAAGCACAGCAAUGUGCGCAGCUGACUGGUACUAAUACACCAAUCACUCACCCAACAA